CUAACAGGAUUCCCCUAGUAACUGCGAGUGAAGCGGGAAAAGCUCAAAUUUAAAAUCUGGUGGUCUUUGGCCAUCCGAGUUGUAAUCUAGAGAAGCGUCUUCCGCGCUGGACCGUGCACAAGUCUCCUGGAACGGAGCGUCGUAGAGGGUGAGAAUCCCGUCUUUGGCAUGGACACACCAGGGCUUUUGUGAUGCGCUCUCGAAGAGUCGAGUUGUUUGGGAAUGCAGCUCAAAAUGGGUGGUGAACUCCAUCUAAAGCUAAAUAUUGGCGAGAGACCGAUCGCGAACAAGUACCGUGAGGGAAAGAUGAAAAGCACUUUGGAAAGAGAGUGAAACAGUACGUGAAAUUGUUGAAAGGGAAACGCUUGAAGUCAGUCGCGUCGACCGAGACUCAGCCUCGCCUCGGCUUGGCGUACUUCUCGGCCCGACGGGUCAGCAUCAAUUUCGCCUCUAGGAUAAUGGCGAGGGAAACGUGACACCUUUACGGUGUGUUAUAGUCUCUCGUCGCAUGCAAGGGUCGGGAUUGAGGAACUCAGCACGCGCCUUUGGGCGUCGGGGCUUUGCCUACGAUACGUGCUUAGGAUGUUGGCGUAAUGGCUUUAAACGACCCGUCUUGAAACACGGACCAAGGAGUCUAACAUGCCUGCGAGUGUUCGGGUGGAAAACCCGUGCGCGCAAUGAAAGUGAAAGUUGGGACCUCCGUCGUGGAGGGCACCGACGCCCGGACCAGACCUUCUGUGACGGCUCUGCGGUAAAGCAUGUAUGUUAGACCCGAAGAUGGUGAACUAUGCCCUGAAUUAGGGUGAAGCCAGAGGAGACUCUGGUGGGAGCUCGUAGCGAUUCUGACGUGCAAAUCGAUUC
This 861-nucleotide ribosomal RNA is filed under the name Russula sp. Its description in RNAcentral is "partial large subunit ribosomal RNA". It matches the Rfam family "Eukaryotic large subunit ribosomal RNA", at positions 65 to 904 of the family's 3401-position model. The record is from RNAcentral. Lineage: Eukaryota; Fungi; Basidiomycota; Agaricomycetes; Russulales; Russulaceae.